UGCUUCUUGAAUAUUAUAAGAAGUAUCUUCCUGCCCAGUGAUAUUUAAACGGCCGCGGUAUCCUAACCGUGCAAAGGUAGCAUAAUAAUUUGUCUAUUAAUUGUAGACUAGAAUGAACGGAAUAACAAAAUAAGUGCUGUAUCAACUUGACUUAUAUAAACUAUUAUUAAAGUGAAGAAACUUUAAUUAAAUAAAAGGACAAGAAGACCCUAUAGAGCUUUAUUAUAAAUCAAUUAUUAAUUGAUACUAAUUCGGUUGGGGCGACCUAGGAAAAAUCAUCCUUUAUAUAAAAGAUCUACCAAUCAUUCUUCAGACCCUUUAUCAAGAUCACAGAAUUAAGCUACCUUAGGGAUAACAGGCUAAUCCUAUUAUAGAGCUCUUAUCGACAAUAGGGAUUGGCACCUCGAUGUUGGCUUAGAAAAUCUGUGCGGCGCAGAAGUCGCAACAAGAUGGUUUGUUCAACCAAUAAUUUUCU
Molecule: ribosomal RNA, 475 nt
Filed under: Cognettia chalupskyi
Lineage: Eukaryota; Metazoa; Annelida; Clitellata; Enchytraeida; Enchytraeidae
Description: partial 16S ribosomal RNA
Rfam family: Bacterial large subunit ribosomal RNA
Source: RNAcentral